This 465-nucleotide ribosomal RNA is filed under the name uncultured bacterium. RNAcentral's name for it is "partial 16S ribosomal RNA". It matches the Rfam family "Bacterial small subunit ribosomal RNA", at positions 28 to 506 of the family's 1533-position model. The record is from RNAcentral.
GACGAACGCUGGCGGCGCGCCUAACACAUGCAAGUCGAACGAGCGAGAGAGAGCUUGCUUUCUUGAGCGAGUGGCGAACGGGUGAGUAACGCGUGAGGAACCUGCCUCAAAGAGGGGGACAACAGUUGGAAACGACUGCUAAUACCGCAUAAGCCCACGGUGCCGCAUGGCACAGAGGGAAAAGGAGCAAUCCGCUUUGAGAUGGCCUCGCGUCCGAUUAGCUAGUUGGUGAGGUAACGGCCCACCAAGGCGACGAUCGGUAGCCGGACUGAGAGGUUGAACGGCCACAUUGGGACUGAGACACGGCCCAGACUCCUACGGGAGGCAGCAGUGGGGAAUAUUGCACAAUGGGGGAAACCCUGAUGCAGCGACGCCGCGUGGAGGAAGAAGGUCUUCGGAUUGUAAACUCCUGUUGUUGGGGAAGAUAAUGACGGUACCCAACAAGGAAGGGACGGCUUACUACGU